GAAUGUGUGUUGCUCCUUGUGGCAGGUAUACUGUUCCAAUGCCCUGGGAUCUCUGUAGUGGUCGGUACUGUAUUGAUUAUAAAUGGUGAAGUCCUAGUAUCUUGCUAGAGUGAGCUGGCCAGGAUGGUGGAGCUCUACCACCAUUUCACAGGUUAUAGACAGGGGCCACCAGGUUUCAGGAAAGCAGCAAUGACCCCUCAGUAAUAGUUGGAAAGUGUGAUAUGACACUGAGCUUCACUGUGUUGGUGAAGAAGAGGUGAGGAAAAUAAAAGCUGCAGUUUGCCUCCACCUCUGAAGAAGCACAAUACACCUUUCUGGGUUACCAAUGGGAUACUUCCCAACAGCUUUGUCAUCACAUACAAUAUUCUCAAACAAGAUCUUAAUGGCAUCUACUUUCUCCAGGAACACAGCCCCUGACCUGUGUGUGUUUGCGUAGAGAAGGCAUGCUAUGUACCCCCUAGGAUAUGAAUCUGCCCACCACUCAAGCCUGGGAAAGCUGGCAGAGGAUGCACGUGUUUUACUCACCUGAGUGUUUACAAUGCUCGUGAGGUGCCUCCCUGAUAAAGGGAAAGGCUGGUAAAAUGCCACAGCGUUCUGGCUAAAGCAACAACGCAAUUGUGAAGAGAGAAAACUGCAUUCAUCCACAUGUCCCAGCAAGAGCUAUCACCAAAGGCAUUGUGAAGCAGUUGAGCAGUUACAUCUGCUCUCCUUUAACAGGAAUGAGUCUUUAGUACCCGGUUGCAAAUGUUGACUUUUACCUUUUCUUUAAAUGUCUGCUACUCUUUGUCAUAUUUCUUCUCCUUCUCUCCAAAUUCUACCAAUAAAAGUAAAAAUUACUGAAUCG
RNAcentral lists this long non-coding RNA (844 nucleotides) under Homo sapiens (human). RNAcentral describes it as "long intergenic non-protein coding RNA 616". The record is from RNAcentral. Lineage: Eukaryota; Metazoa; Chordata; Mammalia; Primates; Hominidae.